UACGUAGGGUCCGAGCGUUUUCCGGAAUUACUGGGCGUAAAGAGCUCGUAGGUGGUUUGUCGCGUUGUUCGUGAAAACUCACAGCUCAACUGUGGGCGUGCGGGCGAUACGGGCAGACUUGAGUACUGCAGGGGAGACUGGAAUUCCUGGUGUAGCGGUGGAAUGCGCAGAUAUCAGGAGGAACACCGGUGGCGAAGGCGGCCAGCUGGGCCGUCCCUGACGCUGAGGCGCGAAGGCGUGGGGAGCGAACGGG
RNAcentral lists this ribosomal RNA (253 nucleotides) under uncultured bacterium. RNAcentral's name for it is "partial 16S ribosomal RNA". It matches the Rfam family "Bacterial small subunit ribosomal RNA", at positions 524 to 776 of the family's 1533-position model. The record is from RNAcentral.